CUCCUGCUCCUCCUGGCGUCCACGCGCGCGGCGUCCGCGGCCGGCGCCGGCGCCUGCGCGGCCGAGAAGUUCCCGGCGGGGAAGACAUAUGCCAAGUGCGAGGACCUCCCGCAGCUGGGCGCCGCGCUGCACUGGACCUACGACGAGGCCAAGUCGUCGCUCUCGCUGGCGUUCGUGGCGGCGCCGGCGGGUGCCAACGGGUGGGUGGCCUGGGCGCUGAACCCCACCGGCGAGGGCAUGGCCGGCGCGCAGGCGCUCGUGGCGCUCAAGGGCUCCGGCUCCGCCGCCCCCACCGUUAGGACGUACAACAUCACCGGCUACGUGCCGCUCGGCAAGGCCUCCACGCCCAUCGCCUUCCCGGCCACCGACCUCGCCGCCGACUCCGGCAGCGGCGGCAAGAUCCGGCUCUACGGCAAGCUGCAGCUGCACAGCGGGAUGAAGGCGGUGAACCACAUAUGGCAGGUCGGCACCUCCGUCACCGCCGGGGCCCCCGACAAGCACGCCUUCGCCGCCGGCAACCUCGCCUCGAAGUCCAAGCUCGUCCUCUCGGGCAAAGCGGCCUCCGCGGCCUCGCCUUCGCCGGCGCCCGCCCCCAUGGCCGGUGGCCCGUCCGGAUCGGCCGGCAGCGACGGCGGCGCUUCGGCGACCACGGCGCCUUCAGCCGGCAAGUCCCCGUCGGGCGCGGCCGCGGUCGGCGUGUCGGCGCCGGCACUCCUCGUGCUCGCGUUGAUGGGCCUCCUCGCGGUGGUAUGAUGGCAUUUCCUGGCGGUAGCACGAAUGAAUGAGUACGUACUAUAAUUAGUGGAGGUGGCAGUGGGCAUGGGGAGGAAGCAUUUCUUGAACAAUAUAUUUGUUCCAUUUUUGUCGAUCGAUCUUGCUAUGCUGCCUAUUCUUUUUCCUAAUUUCGUUUGAAAUAAAAGAUGGUUUGCGUACUAAUUAUUAUUAUCGAGCUGUUGUUUUUAGGUAGAAGUACGUAGCACCGCUAGCAGUUGGUGAUUAUUGUAUUUUUUUUUGCGAGAGGUGAUUAUUGUAGUAGUACUAUUGUGGUCGACAUGUCACUGAAUUUGUCAUAUGACUAAUAAGUAUAAAUUUUAUCAUCAAAGGAGCAAAUGUUUGGUAG
This 1120-nucleotide long non-coding RNA is filed under the name Triticum aestivum (bread wheat). RNAcentral describes it as "long non-coding RNA (TAES_LNC017850)". The record is from RNAcentral. Lineage: Eukaryota; Viridiplantae; Streptophyta; Magnoliopsida; Poales; Poaceae.